AUAGCGUAUAUUAAAGUUGUUGCAGUUAAAAAGCUCGUAGUUGAACUUCGAACCUGGUUGGGUGGUCUGCCUUCAUGGUAUGUACUGCUUGGCGGGGUUCUACCUCUUGGUGAGCCAGCAUGUCCUUUACUGGGUGUGUUGGGGAACCAGGACUUUUACCUUGAGAAAAUUAGAGUGUUCAAAGCAGGCCUUUGCCCGAAUACAUUAGCAUGGCAUAAUAAAAUAGGACGUGCGGUUCUAUUUUGUUGGUUUCUAGAGUCGCCGUAAUGAUUAAUAGGGAUAGUUGGGGGCAUUUGUAUUCCGUUGCUAGAGGUGAAAUUCUUGGAUUUACGGAAGACAAACUUCUG
This 347-nucleotide ribosomal RNA is filed under the name uncultured eukaryote. RNAcentral's name for it is "SSU rRNA". It matches the Rfam family "Eukaryotic small subunit ribosomal RNA", at positions 594 to 945 of the family's 1831-position model. The record is from RNAcentral.